CUUCACACACUGAGGUUAAUUAUGGAGUUCCACAGGGUUCAAUGCUAGGACCAGUUCUGUUUACAUUAUACAUGCUUACUUUGGGCAGUAUCAUCAAAACACAUAGCUUACAUUUUUACUGCUAUGCAGAUGACACCGAACAUUCCUGUUUGUGGGGGAGUUGAUAUGACCUGAAUCCUUGCAGCUGAUUGGCCCAUGUGUCUGUCAAUCAGGAUCCCAGUGUUUUGAUUGGCUGUGGAGUUUCUGGGCGCAGUGGGGUGGAUCUCCACGCUGAGUCAACCCUACAAGUCAGACGUGGUUGGAGAUUCCACACUCUGACACGCCCACUGCUGCUGCCCACCUGCAGACAGGCCGUCCCACCCACAGUCUUGUCUGUCUCAGAGGUCUUAGACUGCAGCUCAGAGCUGGUGUGUUUUCAGGG
Molecule: long non-coding RNA, 421 nt
Organism: Pelmatolapia mariae (spotted tilapia)
Lineage: Eukaryota; Metazoa; Chordata; Actinopteri; Cichliformes; Cichlidae
Exons: 3
Source: RefSeq, a predicted model, not a curated record